UGCAACUUGAGGCUCUGUCCUCUCAUUCUGUCACUUAUUUUCUGACACCCAGCUGGCUGCAACCUCUCUUGCAGGUCUGGCAGCUCCAGACAAAGUUUAUUAGAGAAGCCCUCCUGUUGAGUCACGAGGCAGUUGUAGAGAGUGAUAAAGUGUUCCCUGAGGCUUCUCCUCUCCCCCUCAACUGAUGUCUCUGGACCUACCCAACAACAUACAACAUACCUGAUUGUGGGUGCUGUUGGCCACAAAAGAGAAUUUCAAAGUCUUUAUACUCCAAAGUUGUAAAUCCAUUAUGAUAAGUGUGGCCUGAGAAACACUAUCCAGCCUGGCUAUUGAUCUUCAAGCAAAAUGACCAGCUCUAGAAGGUGUUUUUUAAUAGAAAUGGAAUAGUACUCCACAUGGAGAGAUGAUGAAAUUGCUCUGAUUCACAAUUCAGCUGUUCUGCUUUGCCUGCAUUUCUAGUACCAAGAGUUAAGAAAUUGUUGUUGACACUGGCCUAUACUUUAAGUUCUGUACAGGGAACACUGAAGUCUCUGAAA
Molecule: long non-coding RNA, 536 nt
Organism: Vidua chalybeata
Lineage: Eukaryota; Metazoa; Chordata; Aves; Passeriformes; Viduidae
Exons: 5
Source: RefSeq, a predicted model, not a curated record